This 336-nucleotide ribosomal RNA is filed under the name Actinomyces sp. oral taxon 180. Its description in RNAcentral is "bacterial SSU rRNA". It matches the Rfam family "Bacterial small subunit ribosomal RNA", at positions 28 to 359 of the family's 1533-position model. The record is from RNAcentral. Lineage: Bacteria; Bacillati; Actinomycetota; Actinomycetes; Actinomycetales; Actinomycetaceae.
GACGAACGCUGGCGGCGUGCUUAACACAUGCAAGUCGAACGCUGAAGCCUGGCUUUUGUUGGGUGGAUGAGUGGCGAACGGGUGAGUAACACGUGAGUAACCUGCCCCCUUCUUUGGGAUAACGCCCGGAAACGGGUGCUAAUACUGGAUAUUCACUGGUCUUCGCAUGGGGGGUUGGUGGAAAGGGUUUUCUGGUGGAGGAUGGGCUCGCGGCCUAUCAGCUUGUUGGUGGGGUGAUGGCCUACCAAGGCUUUGACGGGUAGCCGGCCUGAGAGGGUGACCGGUCACAUUGGGACUGAGAUACGGCCCAGACUCCUACGGGAGGCAGCAGUUGGG